This 380-nucleotide ribosomal RNA is filed under the name uncultured eukaryote. RNAcentral's name for it is "partial 18S ribosomal RNA". It matches the Rfam family "Eukaryotic small subunit ribosomal RNA", at positions 592 to 976 of the family's 1831-position model. The record is from RNAcentral.
CAAUAGCGUAUAUUAAAGUUGUUGCAGUUAGAACGCUCGUAGUCGGAUUUCGGGGCGGGCCGACCGGUCUGCCGAUGGGUACGCACUGGUCGGCGCGUCCUUCCUUCCGGAGACCGUGCCUACUCUUAACUGAGCGGGGGCGGGAGACGGAUCGUUUACUUUGAAAAAAUCAGAGUGUUUCAAGCAGGCAGCUCGCUCUUGCAUGGAUUAGCAUGGGAUAAUGAAAUAUGACUUUGGUGCUAUUUUGUUGGUUUCGAACACCGAAGUAAUGAUAAAUAGGGACAGUCAGGGGCACUCGUAUUCCGCCGAGAGAGGUGAAAUUCUCAGACCAGCGGAAGACGAACCACUGCGAAAGCAUUUGCCAGGGAUGUUUUCACUGA